CCGAUGUUCGCCAGGCCGGUGUCGUAGUUGCCGGUGUUAUAGCUGCCGGUGUUGUAGGUGCCGGAGUUGAAGUUUCCGGUGUUGGCC
RNAcentral lists this transfer RNA (87 nucleotides) under Mycobacterium persicum. Its description in RNAcentral is "tRNA-Tyr". Lineage: Bacteria; Bacillati; Actinomycetota; Actinomycetes; Mycobacteriales; Mycobacteriaceae. The record is from RNAcentral.